This is a long non-coding RNA of Oncorhynchus tshawytscha (Chinook salmon), 2934 nucleotides long. RefSeq lists it as uncharacterized. NCBI's taxonomy places the organism in Eukaryota, Metazoa, Chordata, Actinopteri, Salmoniformes, Salmonidae. The record is from RefSeq and is a predicted model, not a curated record. The transcript has 3 exons.
UCCACAACCCGUUCUACAGUUUACUAAUUGCCUUCAGAACGUUGAGUCAAACAGGCAACACUUUCAACGAUGAAUUAUGUAGAAUCUCCAGUAGAAUGAUGGCAAGAAGAAGGUAUAGUCCUCCAUGUCCGACUAUUCCAGGAUGUGAGAGUUUAAUUAAAUCGAUGUUUGUAUUUAGUGGGAUUACUGCACAAUGUGGUAUGGUGGAACAUUGAAUGUCCUGUUUGGUAACUUGGUGGAAAUUUCGUGCUGAGAGAGAAACCUGACCAAUGUGGUUGCUGCCUUCCAAGUUUCAUGUUCACGCCUUGGACGCAUAUUCGGCGGUUUGAUAAGGAGACGGAGUAGAUACAGUCCGAGAGGCGGCACGUUUGGUGAUUUCGGUUCACAAACCGUGUGGAUGUAUGAGACUUUUUAUUGAAACGUGUCGUUCAAGAUAAAACAAUGCGUUUUCCUACGGGAUGAAUUUGAUAUUCAUGGAGGGAAACUCAUCCAGUCCUACUUUUCCAAGAGUCUUUUUGAAGCUGUGAAUCUGGAUCAGGCCAGACUGAGGCAACACACACCAGGACAGAUGGAGACUACAGCAAAUAACAGCAGUGCUUUGUGCGUUCAACCCAGAGUCACGUGGUCUAUUUAUGAAGACUGAAAAGACUGAGGAUACAAAACAACAAGAUCAUGGCACAGGGGAAGAUAUAAGUAGGGCAGCAUCGGAGCAUGGCUGACUGUCUGGACUAUUUCAGCGCAGCUCAGUUCAGACAGGAAUCGGCUUCCUAGCCGUCGCUUCUUAACCAGGGGCCAAGCCCCCCUCCGGCACAUUCCUCCUUCACCACCUUCUCUCUCCCCUCCUCUCUGAGAUCAAUGCUCCAUUAUUUAUAUAAUGGGAUGCGUCAAAUCCAAGAAGAGCGAUCCGAUCCAGUACGCCAACUCGGUGAAGGCGGACGGCAAUCCUGGGAAGUGGCAGGGUGAGAAAGCGCUGCUGGUCCACUAUGAGACGGGGUCCGCGGACGACUCUGCCCGGGUGGACCCCAUUCUGCUGGAGUAUGCCCAGCGGCUGUCUGAGGAGAUAGUGGCCCGGGCCGUGCAGCAGUGGUUGGAGGUGGACAGCCGCUACAUUGACAUCCCCUACAUUGAGUGUGAUGUGCCAUGAGGGGGAGGGGAGGGGCAUCGGUCUAAUGGAGAGGCAUUGCCAGAGAGUGGUAUUUCUGUUAUGGGAUUCACCUUGAACCUCUGGGGAAAAGAGGACUACUGGAUGCCCAACAGACAGACAGACAGACAGACAUCACUCUCCUUCAGGUUGAAACAAUACACUACGAAGAUCUACUAGCCGAUGCAAGAUGUUGAUGCCAUUCUAUGGUCCAAAGCCAUUUUUCUGUUUAAUUCAUACUUGGACAAAGACCUUGGUUAAUCCUCUCAUUUUCAAUCCAGACCAUGUGCUUGUCUCCAUCGUUAGCUAGAUGAUGAGAGUUCCGAGCUGGAGGGUGUGAUAUCUUUGUCUUGGGAGCCAAUAAAGCAGAAGAGUAUCAUUGAAUCCUGCUUUGAAAAUGACCGGUUCUGCCUUUCAGUGAAUAUCUAUCGUUUCCGCUUGACGCGUGCCAUCCUGCGGCCAAAUAGCAGGUCCGAUGUAGGAAGUUAUUUAUUAGUACCUCAAAUGGCCAAUGUUUUUCACUUGAGAUUUUUUGCUGGAGUCAGCAGGUACAUGCCUCCCUCUCCAUCUGUGCCCAGACAGAAGCUCCCAGUUCAGAGUUCUUGGAUAAUGGCAUCCCAGGGGGCCUGUGGUCGACCAACAAAGGAGAGCUCAUUAUUCAUCCUGCCCACCUACCCAUUAAGCAUGUACGACGACGAGCUGCAGCAACCAAGGGCCUGACAACGGUCACUUUGACGAAAUUAUGCUCUACGAACAUGGCCGUGGGAAGCUGUUUUGGGUUGGGGGUGCUGAUGAGUAUUUUUGUCCACUCAAAUGAGUAAUAAAGGCCAAGUUCACUAAGGAUGUUUUUUCAAUUUAUCAGGGGGUGCUGCAGCACCCUCAGCAUCCCUACUUCCUGCGGCUAUGUUUAGGAAUGUUUUACAGAGGUUCAGCACCCUCCCAUUCUAUGAAUUUGAAUGCCAUUGACAAUAGCACAUCCCUGAGGGCUGGCUAAGUCCCCCAUGCCUCGAGGAAAUCAGGACACGAGGAUGGAUUGACACACUUUUACUGAGACUUGGCUUUUGUACACAAAACGAGUUCUGGGUUCACAAAUACAUUUUGCUUUCGCCAAAAUGUCUUGGGCCAAGCACCCUGGUUUUAACAUACUGUGUUCUACAUAAUGAGGAACUGCUGCCAUCCGCCCCAUAGAAUUUACAGCACAAAUAUGCAACUCUCAAAGGCCAUGAUAUUUUUAUUGAGAGCAAAUGGCUUCUUAAAAUAGUACGAUGCUAUUUUAACAGGCCAUAGGCACACAUAAGCACAAUGGAGAGUUGAGUUGUUUGGAAAAGGAGAACAACUGGCAAAGUCCUUAAUGAAUGGUAGUACAAGCACAAUACGCUUGAUGGGCUUUCGUAUGGCGUUUAUAAGAUAGGUCAUAUCAGUGGGUUUUAGUCAGUCAUGGCAGGUCAGUUCCUACCAUACCACAACUGAUGUUCAAGAAGCUUUAAAUGAGUCAAGGCUGGGCAAGAUGGUACAUUUCACAGAGCAUUAAAUCAGGGUGCCAUUGUAUACACACCACAAAGAACAAGUAGACAUUAUUUCACCGGCUAAGGAAGUUUGACGUGUGUAUCUCAAGUAAGAUUCGGCUGCUAAGCCAUUAGGUAUGCUCAGUAAAGGAAAUGGUAGUGGUGUGCCUCAAAUGCUACACCCAAAAAAACAUUACAGUAAAAAGCAACAAAUAUAUAAACGGCAUUUUCACUAAUCUGGGUUGAAAGAUGAAUCUCUUGAACCCAUUCAAUUAUGUAAACCAAUUG